UACAGAGGUCUCGAGCGUUAGGCGGAAUCACUGGGCUUAAAGCGUGUGUAGGCGGAUCGUUAAGUACCUUGCGAAAUCCCACGGCUUAACCGUGGAGCUGCUUGGUAUACUGGCGGUCUUGAGCCAGCUAGGGGCUACCGGAACAAAUGGUGGAGCGGUGAAAUGCGUAGAUAUCAUUUGGAACGCCAAUGGUGAAAACAGGUAGCUGGGGCUGUGCUGACGCUGAGACACGAAAGCCAGGGGAGCAAACGGG
This 253-nucleotide ribosomal RNA is filed under the name uncultured bacterium. RNAcentral's name for it is "partial 16S ribosomal RNA". It matches the Rfam family "Bacterial small subunit ribosomal RNA", at positions 524 to 776 of the family's 1533-position model. The record is from RNAcentral.